RNAcentral lists this ribosomal RNA (460 nucleotides) under uncultured bacterium. RNAcentral describes it as "partial 16S ribosomal RNA". It matches the Rfam family "Bacterial small subunit ribosomal RNA", at positions 338 to 795 of the family's 1533-position model. The record is from RNAcentral.
CCUACGGGUGGCAGCAGUGAGGAAUAUUGGUCAAUGGGCGCGAGCCUGAACCAGCCAAGUAGCGUGAAGGAUGAAUGCCCUACGGGUUGUAAACUUCUUUUAUAAAGGAAUAAAGUGAGGCACGUGUGCCUUUUUGUAUGUACCUUAUGAAUAAGGAUCGGCUAACUCCGUGCCAGCAGCCGCGGUAAUACGGAGGAUCCGAGCGUUAUCCGGAUUUAUUGGGUUUAAAGGGUGCGUAGAUGGGUUGUUAAGUCAGUGGUGAAAGUUUGCGGCUCAACCAUAAAAUUGCCAUUGAAACUGGCAGCCUUGAGUUCAGUUGAGGUAGGCGGAAUGCGUGGUGUAGCGGUGAAAUGCUUAGAUAUCACGAAGAACUCCGAUUGCGAAGGCAGCCUACUAAGCUACAACUGACAUUGAUGCUCGAAAGUGUGGGUAUCAAACAGGAUUAGAUACCCCUGUAGUC